AGCUUUGUGCAGUGGCAGUUUCAUAGCCAAUGAGGUUUAUCCAAGGCUCAAUUAUUGCUAAUUGAAAGCUUUUCCCAAUAAUGUAUCCUUUCAAAUUGUGUGACUAUUUAAUAUUA
This is a small nuclear RNA of Oryctolagus cuniculus (rabbit), 116 nucleotides long. Its record names the gene U4. It matches the Rfam family "U4 spliceosomal RNA". Rfam says of the family: U4 small nuclear RNA (U4 snRNA) is a component of the major U2-dependent spliceosome. The record is from Ensembl. Lineage: Eukaryota; Metazoa; Chordata; Mammalia; Lagomorpha; Leporidae.